ACGAACGCUGGCGGCGUGCUUAACCCCUGCAAGUCGAACGGAAAGGCCCUGCUUUUGUGGGGUGCUCGAGUGGCGAACGGGUGAGUAACACGUGAGUAACCUGCCCUUGACUUUGGGAUAACUUCAGGAAACUGGGGCUAAUACCGGAUAGGAGCUCCUGCUGCAUGGUGGGGGUUGGAAAGUUUCGGCGGUUGGGGAUGGACUCGCGGCUUAUCAGCUUGUUGGUGGGGUAGUGGCUUACCAAGGCUUUGACGGGUAGCCGGCCUGAGAGGGUGACCGGCCACAUUGGGACUGAGAUACGGCCCAGACUCCUACGGGAGGCAGCAGUGGGGAAUAUUGCACAAUGGGCGGAAGCCUGAUGCAGCAACGCCGCGUGCGGGAUGACGGCCUUCGGGUUGUAAACCGCUUUCGCCUGUGACGAGGCGUGAGUGACGGUAAUGGGUAAAGAAGCACCGGCUAACUACGUG
Molecule: ribosomal RNA, 467 nt
Filed under: uncultured bacterium
Lineage: Bacteria
Description: partial 16S ribosomal RNA
Rfam family: Bacterial small subunit ribosomal RNA
Source: RNAcentral